Pistacia vera is the source of this 304-nucleotide long non-coding RNA. RefSeq lists it as uncharacterized. Lineage: Eukaryota; Viridiplantae; Streptophyta; Magnoliopsida; Sapindales; Anacardiaceae. The record is from RefSeq and is a predicted model, not a curated record. The transcript is spliced from 3 exons.
UGACUUUAUACAAAUGCGGUGGCUGAAACCUAGAAACUCGGAACUAAAUGUUGGCGUCUAAUGAAUGAGGAACCAACAGAAGAUGAGGAGUCAAGUAAGUACCUGGAGAUUUCAAGCUGGUGUUUCAUGCAUUGGGUGGAUCUACAUUUGUUCAUAUUAUUCAAACUUGGACUGGAUUUAUAAUUUAAGUCAUAUUUACACGUACAUAAGAAGAAACUAAAGUUCAGAUGAAAUUAGCAAAUUCAUAUAUGAAUUAAGAUGACUGUAAUAACCUUUUCAAGAUGUUUGGAGAGGUACAAUAUAU